Molecule: ribosomal RNA, 446 nt
Filed under: uncultured bacterium
Lineage: Bacteria
Description: partial 16S ribosomal RNA
Rfam family: Bacterial small subunit ribosomal RNA
Source: RNAcentral
CCUACGGGAGGCAGCAGUCGAGAAUCAUUCACAAUGGGGGAAACCCUGAUGGUGCGACGCCGCGUGGGGGAAUGAAGGUCUUCGGAUUGUAAACCCCUGUCAUGUGGGAGCAAAUUAAAAAGAUAGUACCACAAGAGGAAGAGACGGCUAACUCUGGGCCAGCAGCCGCGGUAAUACAGAGGUCUCAAGCGUUGUUCGGAAUCACUGGGCGUAAGGCGUGCGUAGGCUGUUUCGGAAGUCGGGUGUGAAAGGCGCGGGCUCAACCCGCGGACGGCACAUGAUACUGCGAGACUAGAGUAAUGGAGGGGGAACCGGAAUUCUCGGUGUAGCAGUGAAAUGCGUAGAUAUCGAGAGGAACACUCGUGGCGAAGGCGGGUUCCUGGACAUUAACUGACGCUGAGGCACGAAGGCCAGGGGAGCGAAAGGGAUUAGAUACCCUGGUAGUC